GGGGAAUUAGCUCAUCUGGCUAGAGCGCGACAAUGGCAUUGUCGAGGCGACCGGUUCGAGUCCGGUAUUCUCCACCA
RNAcentral lists this transfer RNA (77 nucleotides) under Porphyromonas levii. Its description in RNAcentral is "tRNA-Ala". It matches the Rfam family "tRNA". Rfam says of the family: Transfer RNA (tRNA) molecules are approximately 80 nucleotides in length. Their secondary structure includes four short double-helical elements and three loops (D, anti-codon, and T loops). The record is from RNAcentral. Lineage: Bacteria; Pseudomonadati; Bacteroidota; Bacteroidia; Bacteroidales; Porphyromonadaceae. RNAcentral also lists the same sequence under 2 other names.